Molecule: unclassified non-coding RNA, 280 nt
Filed under: Melitaea cinxia (Glanville fritillary)
Lineage: Eukaryota; Metazoa; Arthropoda; Insecta; Lepidoptera; Nymphalidae
Description: misc RNA ENSMCXG00005011360.1
Source: RNAcentral
AUGUGAUUCAUAGGAGAUAACACGUGACUACAAGAGUGGGUCUAAAAAUUAGCUUAACCAGUUAGAUUAAAUUUAGGUAUAUGUAUUUGACACACCCGUCAGAACAGUUGACAGUGAGCUGCGCUUUGUUCAAGGAGACGAGAAUUCGAUCCCUGCCCGUCAAAUGUGACGUAGGGUAAAAGCCGGAAUAGCUGCGCCACUUUUCAAAGACGCUCUGUUAAUCAAGAUAAGUACGUAUUAUUUUUUAUUCAAAGUGCAUAUCAAAACAUAGGUUAUUAAU